GCUCAUUGGCAUCUCCGAUUGAGCCAGCCAAGGACAAGCUCCUUGGAGGUCUACUGAGCCCUGCAUUCGAUGAACCCUCUUGCCUGAGCCGCUACCAGUCCGCACAGUUCUGGAAGUCAUCGAACCACACGCCAUCGCCGUUCCUCUUGCAGAAGCUGCGAAGCUACGAAGCCCUCCACAAAAGAUGUGGCCCGCACACCGAUCUCUAUAACAAGAGCAUCGAGCAGCUCAGAUCCAAUCGCAGCACAGGGCCUUUGGAGUGCAACUACGUGGUGUGGCUGCAAUCCGGUGGAUUAGGCAACAGAUUGAUGAGCCUGAUCUCCACAUUCCUCUACGCGAUCCUCAACAACAGGGUGUUGUUGCUCAGUGUUCCUGAUGACCUCCAUGAUAUGUUCUGCGAGCCAUUUCCUGGGACUUCGUGGGCUUUACCUUCGGAUUUCCCCAUCAAGAAGUUGGAGACCCACGACUUCUAUCGCGGAUCUCCUCAGAGUUACGGAAACCUGCUCAAGAACAAGGUGCUUAGCAAUGGCAUGAACACCACGCUUGCUUCGCUGCCGGCUUAUCUCUAUCUCCACCUGAUGCACGAUGCCGAUGACUCCGAUAAGAUGUUCUACUGUGAAGAUGCUCAGCCGCUGUUUCAAAGCUUCCCAUGGCUGUUCCUGCGAUCAAAC
RNAcentral lists this long non-coding RNA (671 nucleotides) under Musa acuminata (dwarf banana). RNAcentral describes it as "long non-coding RNA (MACU_LNC005511)". Lineage: Eukaryota; Viridiplantae; Streptophyta; Magnoliopsida; Zingiberales; Musaceae. The record is from RNAcentral.